AUAUAAUUGUGUCACAACAAGACAUUGUAGACUUAUCUAUAAGAUCAUGAAAAGCUUGUCUCACAAGGCAUCAUCAAGACCAUUUAAAAACAACUCUUCCAUUAUAGCAUCCAAUGAUUGCUUCUUUAAGGAUGAGAGUUGAUAAAAUCUCUUCUCAAAUUCUUCUAAGAAUUCAUAAAGAUCCAUAUGCUUACUUAGUUGCAAUUCUAUCCAAUCCAAAAACUUUUGCUUGGUAAUCCUAUCCUCAUCUCCAUCAAUAAACUCUUCCUUCAAAAGUUCUUAAAAUUUUGACCAUGUCUCCAUACUUCCCCCAAGCAAUCUCUAACAACUCUAAUAGAUUCUUAAAUAAAAUAUAAUUAAAGUUUAGAAAAUAUAAUUAAACAUUAAUGAAAUUCAAUUAAAAUUUCAAAAAAUUAUACAAAAAAUACAAAGAAUUUUUAGAAAUCCUUUAAAGAAAUCAUAAAAAAAUAACAUAAAAAUUCAAAAAUAAAUAUUAAAAUAGAAAUCUUAAUUAAAUCUUAAUUAAAAUCUAAUCAAACCUUAAUCAAACCUUAAUCAAAUCUUAAUCAAAUCUUAAUCAAAUCCUUAAUAAAAUCUAGUCAAUCAUAAAUAAAUCCUAGUCAAAUCCUAGAUAAAUCCUAAUCAAAUACUAAGCAAAUCCCAAACAAAUCCUAAACAAAUCUUAAUCAAAUCUUAAUCAAAUUAUAAAUAAAUCCUAGUCAAAUCUAAGUUGAAUUCUAACUUAAAUCAAAUCUUAAUCCUAAUCAAAUCCUAAUCUUAAUCCUAAUCAAACCUUAAAUCAAAUCUAAAAUCCUAAUCCUAAUUCUAAACCAAAUCCUAAUCAA
Molecule: long non-coding RNA, 845 nt
Filed under: Physcomitrium patens
Lineage: Eukaryota; Viridiplantae; Streptophyta; Bryopsida; Funariales; Funariaceae
Description: long non-coding RNA (PPAT_LNC001304)
Source: RNAcentral